Molecule: ribosomal RNA, 494 nt
Filed under: uncultured bacterium
Lineage: Bacteria
Description: partial 16S ribosomal RNA
Rfam family: Bacterial small subunit ribosomal RNA
Source: RNAcentral
GACGAACGCUGGCGGCGUGCUUAACACAUGCAAGUCGAGCGGAAAGGCCUGCUUUCCCUUGUGGAUUGCGGGUACUCGAGUGGCGAACGGGUGAGUAACACGUGAGUGAUCUGCCCCCAACUUGGGUAUAAGCCUGGGAAACUGGGUCUAAUUCCCGAUAGGACUGCAGGGUGGUGCCUGUGGUGGAAAACGAUUUUCUAGUGGUUGGGGAUGAGCUCGCGGCCUAUCAGCUUGUUGGUGGGGUAAUGGCCUACCAAGGCGGCGACGGGUAGCCGGCCGGGGAGGGUGGACGGCCACAUUGGGACUGAGAUACGGCCCAGACUCCUACGGGAGGCAGCAGUGGGGAAUAUUGCACAAUGGGCGGAAGCCUGAUGCAGCGACGCCGCGUGGGGGAUGACGGCCUUCGGGUUGUAAACUCCUUUCGACCGCGAGGAAGCCACCUAGUUGGAAGGGUGGUGACGGUAGUGGUAGAAGAAGCACCGGCUAACUACGUG